UGAUGCGAUUUCGGUCAAAUCAUGUGGCAUUCGAGUGGCGGACGGGUGAGUAACGCGUGGGUAACCUGCCUUACACAGGGGGAUAACACCUGGAAACAGGUGCUAAUACCGCAUAAGCGCACAGGGCCGCAUGGCCCGGUGUGAAAAACUCCGGUGGUGUAAGAUGGACCCGCGUCUGAUUAGCUUGUUGGCGGGGUAGGGGCCCACCAAGGCGACGAUCAGUAGCCGGCCUGAGUGGGUGGACGGCCACAUUGGGACUGAGACACGGCCCAAACUCCUACGGGAGGCAGCAGUGGGGGAUAUUGGACAAUGGGGGAAACCCUGAUCCAGCGACGCCGCGUGAGUGAAGAAGUAUUUCGGUAUGUAAAGCUCUGUCAGCAGGGAAGAAAGAAAUGACGGUACCUGACCAAGAAGCCCCGGCUAACUACGUGCCAGCAGCCGCGGUAAUACGUAGGGGGCAAGCGUUAUCCGGAAUUACUGGGUGUAAAGGGAGCGUAGACGGUGAUGCAAGUCUGGAGUGAAAGGCGGGGGCCCAACCCCCGGACUGCUCUGGAAACUGUGUAACUUGAGUGCAGGAGAGGUAAGCGGAAUUCCUAGUGUAGCGGUGAAAUGCGUAGAUAUUAGGAGGAACACCAGUGGCGAAGGCGGCUUACUGGACUGUAACUGACGUUGAGGCUCGAAAGCGUGGGGAGCAAACAGGAUUAGAUACCCUGGUAGUCCACGCCGUANACGAUGAUUACUAGGUGUCGGUGGGUAUGGACCCNUCGGUGCCGCAGCAAAC
This 781-nucleotide ribosomal RNA is filed under the name uncultured bacterium. RNAcentral describes it as "bacterial SSU rRNA". It matches the Rfam family "Bacterial small subunit ribosomal RNA", at positions 68 to 856 of the family's 1533-position model. The record is from RNAcentral.